UCGUUUUAUAGGCAAUUUACUUUUAUAUCUUAAUAAUUAUGAAUAUUUGAAAUCAAAAUGAGAGGAUCUUAGGGUUUUAGCGAUAGACAAUGCGCGCCCUUCCCAGGCAGCGAUCGCCAGCUCCAUCGAUGCAAGAGGUAGGCGAAGGUGAGCGUGACACGGGGAUUCGACGCAGCGGCGCCGCCCUCGAAGUCAUUCCCCAGCACGCUGUGGUCGCUGCCCAGUAAUCGCUCGGGGAGAGAGCUCGGGGUCGCUCCAGACGCUUGGGUCAUGAUGGAUUGCCCAGACGUUAACGAGGACUGUGGUGUGAUGCAAGGCAGGUCUUUUAGAUCCCACUCCUCCAGGGAGCGAUCUCUUCCCACGACUCUGUCCAGCUCCUCGUGAGCUCUCUCCUGGAUUCUGGGGUUUAGUAUCAGCUCCGAGACGGCCCAUUCGAUCGUCGCCCUGGAAGUUACGGACGACCAGUCGGCGUGCCCACCCGUGUCCGCAAGCUUACGUGAGAAAGAACAGAACAAGGUAAGCUUUUUCUUUCUACCUGGAGCAGCGGUUGUCGCUGAGCUUGUUUUCUCCUCCCAGAGUCCGCAUCACGUCGACAGAGUCCCGGGGAUUUCCUGGAUCGAAGCCUUCCGCGUGCUCCUCGAUGACUGCUUUGAGAAAGCGAGCUCUUGCCGGUAAGACCUCAUUCUUGAGACGAUUUUGCGUCCUGAGCGUGUCCAGCCACCGCAGCGCAGGGAUGUAAUCAUCCGCAAACAGCCAUCUGGAUUCUUUCGCUACGAUCCGACUCCUUCUAGUCCUCGGCCUCGGGAGUGAGCGGCUCGUCGGUACCCUCCCGAACAACACGGUUCGUGAAGUACUCGUGCAGCAUGGAGCUGAGAUCAACUCGACGAUCGAUCCAAACGCUCCCAGCUCCAAGUGGCUGACUUUGGAGGCCGUGAAGAGCUCCGCGGCGCUCACUCGCCAUCGCUCGCGGCGCAAAGAUGAGGUCCUGGAAGUUGUGGCUGAGGAGGCGAGGCACGAAGGAGUAGUGGGGCCUUCUCGCAAACUCUGCGUCGUGCUCCUUGAGGACUUGCCUCGCCAUCUCCGGGACAAGGUGAGGCCGGAGAGCUAUUCUUUCGAGCCAUCUCGGCCAGGGAGCGGUGACGGUAAGCGCCGAGCGAGAGAGAAGAGAGAGCCGACGACGGGCCAUGAGAAAGGACCUGAAGAGCAGUGCACUGAUCUUGCUCUGUGGCUUUCAUCCCUUAGCUCGCAAGAUAAGGCGUAUUUUCGAAAUUUUUACUCCCAACGAGAGAAGCCGUAUCACGAAAGUACUUUACCUUGUAGAGAAGAAGUUACCAAAAGAGAAAGCCCUCUUUAAAGAUAGAAAUUGGAAAGGCCGCGAUCAAAGAAUUGUCCAUCUUAGAGCUUGAGAAUUU
Molecule: long non-coding RNA, 1412 nt
Filed under: Selaginella moellendorffii
Lineage: Eukaryota; Viridiplantae; Streptophyta; Lycopodiopsida; Selaginellales; Selaginellaceae
Description: long non-coding RNA (SMOE_LNC000128)
Source: RNAcentral